This 483-nucleotide ribosomal RNA is filed under the name uncultured bacterium. RNAcentral's name for it is "partial 16S ribosomal RNA". It matches the Rfam family "Bacterial small subunit ribosomal RNA", at positions 28 to 507 of the family's 1533-position model. The record is from RNAcentral.
GAUGAACGCUGGCGGCGUGCCUAACACAUGCAAGUCGAACGAAGCUUGACGGAUGAUUUCUUCGGAAUGAAACCAGAUAUGACUUAGUGGCGGACGGGUGAGUAACACGUGAGCAACCUGCCUUUCAGAGGGGGAUAACGGCUGGAAACGGUCGCUAAUACCGCAUGAUGUGUUCGGAUGGCAUCAUCUGAACAUCAAAGAUUUAUCGCUGAAAGAUGGGCUCGCGUCUGAUUAGAUAGUUGGUGGGGUAACGGCCUACCAAGUCUACGAUCAGUAGCCGGACUGAGAGGUUGAACGGCCACAUUGGGACUGAGAUACGGCCCAGACUCCUACGGGAGGCAGCAGUGGGGAAUAUUGCACAAUGGGGGAAACUCUGAUGCAGCAACGCCGCGUGAAGGAUGACGGUUUUCGGAUUGUAAACUUCUUUUCUUAGGGACGAAGAAAGUGACGGUAGCUAAGGAAUAAGCAGCGGCUAACUACGUG